RNAcentral lists this long non-coding RNA (1097 nucleotides) under Manacus vitellinus (golden-collared manakin). RNAcentral describes it as "lncRNA (ENSMVIG00005003178.1)". The record is from RNAcentral. Lineage: Eukaryota; Metazoa; Chordata; Aves; Passeriformes; Pipridae.
ACUGGAAGGGGCUGCCCAGGGAGGUGGUGGAGUCCCCAUCCCUGAGGGAUUUCCAGCUGUGUGGAUGUGGCACUUGGGGACAGGGGUCAGUGGUGGCCUUGGCAGUGCUGAGUUAACAGUUGGACUUGAUGAUCUUAAAGCUCUUUUCCAGCCUAAACAAUUCCAUGAUUUUAAGCUUAUCUGACCACGAUUUUUAACAGCCUGUUAGAACAGGGACAUCAUGAACUUCAGUUCUUUCAUUAAGGUCUUUCAGUGGUGGAGCAAAACAGGGUCCUGGAGUCCCUUCUAAGCAGAGGCACUUCUGUGGCAGAUCUUGAGUUUGGGACUCACAAAGCAGCUUCUCAGGGAGCUGUCAGACACUAAUGGCAAAUAUGAAGUUUUCAGACAUUUAGGGCACAGCUGUGUUUGAAGACUCUCAGUAUAAAUGCUUGUGAAAUUAGGGAGAGAUCAGACAGACAAGUGCUUUCUUUACAGGUUGAAGUCCCUUCCAGAAACACUUUCACAACAUUUUUCUGCAUUGUUUCAGACCUGCUCAGUAAAUCAGUUGGGUUUGUAAAGCUGUAGGUGAGCUACAAGAGCUCCAAACCAGAGCUGGCCUUGUAGUUGCAUCUAUAAACUGGAAAACUUUUUAAUUUACUCAAAAUUUCUUGUAUUUUAGGUCAAUCAGGAAGUAGCUGAUAGGGAAACCAACACUUUGCCUUUCCAUCCAUUUGAAAACCAACAAGGAGAUAUUCUGCGUGUGGAAAAGGAGCAUCAGGUGCUGAAAGAACAACUGAAAGAGGCAGAGGAGAAAUUUGAGCAGCUGCAGAGCAGAAGUUCAGAGGAAAUCAGUGCUUUGGAAGAGCUCCUGAGGAAAAGCGUGGAAGAGACUGAGGUAAAACUUCCAUCCUUGGAUCAGGGUGUGGAAUCCCCGUCCCUGGAAGUGUCCAAGGCCACGUUGGAGCAAGCUGGGAUAGUGGAAGGAGUCUCUACCCAUGCAGGGGGUGGAAUGGGAUGAUAAAGGUCCCUUCCAACCCCAGUCUGUGAUGGAUCAUAACACAACAACCCCCUGUAGUGCUACAGGCUGGGCCAGAGGGGCUGGAGAGCAGCCAGGCAGG